UGAACGCUAGCGGCAGGCCUAACACAUGCAAGUCGAGGGGUAACAGAGAGAAGCUUGCUUUUCUGCUGACGACCGGCGCACGGGUGAGUAACGCGUAUACAAUCUGCCUUAUACAGAGGGAUAGCCUUUAGAAAUGAAGAUUAAUACCUUAUAGUCUAUUUUUAUAGCAUUAUAUAAAUAGUAAAGCUUCGGUGGUAUAAGAUGAGUAUGCGUCCUAUUAGUUAGUUGGUAAGGUAACGGCUUACCAAGACAACGAUAGGUAGGGGCCCUGAGAGGGGGAUCCCCCACACUGGUACUGAGACACGGACCAGACUCCUACGGGAGGCAGCAGUGAGGAAUAUUGGACAAUGGAGGCAACUCUGAUCCAGCCAUGCCGCGUGCAGGAAGACGGCCCUAUGGGUUGUAAACUGCUUUUAUAUAGGAAGAAACCUUUUCACGUGUGAGAAGCUGACGGUACUAUAAGAAUAAGGACCGGCUAA
Molecule: ribosomal RNA, 479 nt
Filed under: uncultured bacterium
Lineage: Bacteria
Description: bacterial SSU rRNA
Rfam family: Bacterial small subunit ribosomal RNA
Source: RNAcentral